CCCUUAGAUGUUCUGGGCUGCACGCGCGCUACACUGACGCACGCAACAGGUGCCUGCUCCGAGAGGACUGGGUAAUCAUUUGAGUGUGCGUCGUGAUGGGGAUAGAAUAUUGUAAUUAUUACUCUUCAACGAGGAAUUCCUAGUAAGCGCCAGUCAGCAGCUUGCGCUGAUUACGUCCCUGCCCUUUGUACACACCGCCCGUCGCUCCUACCGAUGUGUGAUCCGGUGAAUGAUUCGGACUUCAGCGGCUCCCCUGGGGUGCGCCGGAGAAAGUUUUGUGAACCUUAUCACUUGGAGGAAGGAGAAGUCGUAACA
Molecule: ribosomal RNA, 315 nt
Filed under: uncultured eukaryote
Lineage: Eukaryota
Description: partial 18S ribosomal RNA
Rfam family: Eukaryotic small subunit ribosomal RNA
Source: RNAcentral